RNAcentral lists this ribosomal RNA (468 nucleotides) under uncultured bacterium. RNAcentral describes it as "partial 16S ribosomal RNA". It matches the Rfam family "Bacterial small subunit ribosomal RNA", at positions 28 to 507 of the family's 1533-position model. The record is from RNAcentral.
GACGAACGCUGGCGGCGUGCUUAACACAUGCAAGUCGAACGGAAAGGCCCUGCUUUUGUGGGGUGCUCGAGUGGCGAACGGGUGAGUAACGCGUGAGUAACCUGCCCUUGACUUUGGGAUAACUUCAGGAAACUGGGGCUAAUACCGGAUAGGAGCUCCUGCUGCAUGGUGGGGGUUGGAAAGUUUCGGCGGUUGGGGAUAGACUCGCGGCUUAUCAGCUUGUUGGUGGGGUAGUGGCUUACCAAGGCUUUGACGGGUAGCCGGCCUGAGAGGGUGACCGGCCACAUUGGGACUGAGAUACGGCCCAGACUCCUACGGGAGGCAGCAGUGGGGAAUAUUGCACAAUGGGCGGAAGCCUGAUGCAGCAACGCCGCGUGCGGGAUGACGGCCUUCGGGUUGUAAACCGCUUUCGCCUGUGACGAAGCGUGAGUGACGGUAAUGGGUAAAGAAGCACCGGCUAACUACGUG